Molecule: ribosomal RNA, 292 nt
Filed under: uncultured bacterium
Lineage: Bacteria
Description: partial 16S ribosomal RNA
Source: RNAcentral
GGACUACUGGGGUUUCUAAUCCUGUUUGAUCCCCUUGCUUUCGCGCCUCAGCGUCAGGUUUAAGCUAGAAAACCGCCUUCGCCACCGGUGUUCUUCCACAUAUCUACGCAUUUCACCGCUACUUGUGGAAUUCCGUUUUCUCCGCCUACCCUCCAGACCGCCAGUUUCAAAUGCUGUUCCGAGGUUGAGCCCCGGGAUUUCACAUCUGACUUAACAGCCCGCCUACGCGCCCUUUACGCCCAAUAAAUCCGAUUAAUGCUUGCACCCUCCGUAUUACCGCGGCUGCUGGCAC